CAGGCUCAAGGCACUCGUCUUGUCCUAGGGGGGAUAAAGACACUUCAGUUAACUGUGGAAAUGUCACAUCCAAAAGCACAGAAAUAUAAUGGAGGUUCUUCAAACUAAAGUGGAAUGCUUGGCACUAUGGUGACAAAAGACUGAACCUCUGAGUGAAGCCUCUUGGCUGAGGACUGCUAUGGUCAGAACUUCACAGCACUGAGAGUGGCUGUCAGAGCACCGGAGAUUGUCAGAAGAUCUCAUUUCUAGUCUUAGCUGUAGGACUGUGGGCAAGUCACCGUCUUCUGCACUUUCUAUGGGAGAGACCAUUCGCUCAACCGUCAGGAAAGCAGCGAGGUUAGCAGUAUAAGAUGAUAUAAUGAUGAGUGU
Molecule: long non-coding RNA, 369 nt
Filed under: Homo sapiens (human)
Lineage: Eukaryota; Metazoa; Chordata; Mammalia; Primates; Hominidae
Description: HSALNT0364720
Source: RNAcentral